GGGCUGGAGCCCAGCAUGGCAUCAAUACCUCUUGUUCCAAGAUGUCCAGACUGGACUUCUGGGGGUCCAAGACAGUGGGCCCUUGAAGAGCCUCCAGGUCUAGCCUUGGCCCUGGAGGACCAAGUCAGGGCCCACCAGGACCACGGAGAACUUCAGGAGGGCCAACAUGGCCGGGCACCCGGUGGGAUACUGCGUCCCUCAAGAAGAUCCCCCGGGAGGUGGUUCCCAGCGUCCACCUCUGUGGGCCCAGAGCUUUUCCAGAUGCCCUGCAGCCCAACCCAGUGGAGACGGGUGAUGGAGCUGGCGAUGGAGCAGGAGGAGAGGCGCCCAGAGGGCAGAGGGGCACCGCGGGCCCAGCCAGCCAUGGACCCUGUCCAUGGAUCUGGUGGGCCUGGCCUCCUCACCAAGAGGGGCGUGUGGGAAUACACCCCAUUGUGGUGGGGUGUCCAGGAACACGGCAGUAAUCGGGGACCCACCUGGGUUCCAGGAACUUCUCCAUGUCUCCUCUUGGCCUGGGCCCCAUGGGCUGAGACCUUCACCGGACCAGGGCGAGAACCAGACUCCCACCUCCCAGUCCUAGGCGCCAGUCCCCAGAACUCUGUCAUGGCUUGGGAGGGGCCACUCAGCUGGUUCAGGGGACUACCAUCCUGUGUCUACGACUUCAGGACCCCUCCUCCCUCCCGGCUCUCAGGUCACUCAGUCUCUUGGGUGGGACUGCCAAGAGGGGUGAGUGGCUCUCAGACCCUCUGUCCCAGGAGCACCUUUCCCACACUCCCACCGCACUGGCCUGCCACUCCUCACCCCAAGACACAGAGCUGGGUCUUCCUCCCCAKAUCUGCUUGUCUUGUGUCUGCUUGUGGGUCUGCAUCCCAACCAUGGGGUGGCUGCAGGUCCUCUCCUGCCCUAGCCCUUGGAAACGCACAGCCUUAUGAAAUGGCACCCACCUGGYUGGCUCCUGGCUGGAGCAGGACCUACGUUUGACAGUAUGGUGGCCAGGUCUCCUCCACCUCCUCUCAGCUCCAGGACUCCCCUCUCUCCAACCUGCUAAUCUGCUUCCUGUCCAUGCUUCUCCCAGGACAUCUCUCCCAUCAAAAGCUGCCCCUGGCCCCAGCUAGACACCCUUUCUGGGUCCGGCUGCUCCAGGCCUGCAGCCACCUCAAGCAGGGCACUCCAGGCCCCGGGCAUCCCACUUUGUCUCCAACUGGUCCCUGGAUUUGCUGCCCCUGAAGCUCUUCUCCUUCUCUAAAUGUCCACUUUGUCCCCUGGGAGUCCCUCCAUCCUCUGAAGACACUCAUCUGUUGGGCCAGCCCUGGUCCUGUCCACCUGGCAGUCUCCUCUCUCCCGUCUUCCAGAAAUUCUGUUUCUGAUCCUCCUCACACAAUGGCAAGGCAUCAGAAGGGGAGACCAGGCUCCGGGGACUUCCCCCAGGGGAUGGACGCGGGGAACAGGGGAGCCGUACCCAGGGGUGGCCAGGUCCCCAAGAGGUCUGUCUUUGGAGCCCAUGGCUGGGACAAGAGGCUUCCCUUGGUGCCUGUGUGUCCUGCGUGGAGUCCUCCAUGUCUAGCGCUGGCACACAGAACCUCCACUCUCCUGAAGGGCUCAGUCAGGAUGGCUGCUGGGACAACCUCCGGUCCACAGAACUUCCAUCCCAAAGCUGACCUGGGGCAGGAGCUACACCGUCUACCAGCCCCCAAGGAGACCGGCCCCCAGGCAGGCAGCCACUCCUGCUGCUGCUCUGACCGUCCAGCCCCUGUCGGCCUCCUCCAGCCAUGGCCAUCAUCAUGAAGCAGUCAGACCCUGCAGGCMGAACUUUGAGAGCAGUCGGGGCUCCAGCGAAGGAGAGGGGUCAGCAGCUUCUGCUGGUGGCGAGGUCGAUGCCAGAGAGCAAAGCUGGACGGCGAGAGCCCAGCUCCUGCGCGACCCUCUGCCCCUCCAGAGCACCCUCCCUCCCUUCAUGCGCGCACACACACAUGCACAUUCUCCAGCGGGAAAUGAGACCCCUGCAGGUUGGCCCAGGCCCUCCCCCUCUCUGGCAGCAGGCAUGGGGUUUUAUGAGUGCUACAAAUCAGAUAUCACACAGUUUGGGGCUGACAUGGUUUUUAUAAGAAUUAUUUAAGGCCCUGGCCGCCGGUGAAGUCCCAGGGAGAACUGGGGUAAGGCGCGUCCAGCUGCUUAGGCUGUCGGGAUUCCAAACACUUCGUAAAGUGAAGGUAGGAGAGGAAAGGGGAGCACCUUGUUCUGCUUAGCGGAGGCUCUCCUGCCCUAGGCGCCAYGGGGAGGGACCGCAGCUGCAAGGCUGCGUAUCCACUCAGGGCCUGUCGGGCCCCUGGCACCUCAGCAAAGCCAGAGGGCCUGAGGUUGGGGGUCGGCCACUCUAGUGUCUAACCUACCCCGACCCUUUACCCCCAGGGAGCACUCUGCAUCCCCAGGACACAGAGGCUGYACCCCUCAGGGUCUCUGUGCUCCAUCUCAGUCUCUGCAGGAUUCCCCAUCUGGCUGGUGCUUCCCAGGGUCAGUGGGCAAACUCCUGCGGGCCUAGACCAGGCCAGGUGCCCAGUGGUGCACCCCCAGUGCUGUGGACUCGACCAACCAGUUGUCACAUGAUAUUUGCGACUUGUUGGGCAAGAACAGCCCUGAGUGGGCCCAGCUGCAGGUCCUGGAAUCAGAGGAGGGAAGAGGGUGGGUGAGCCAGGCACCUGGGCACAGAAGCCCAGUCGCUGCUGACAUGCGCUCAUGGGCAAGCAGCGCAGUGUGGGCACAUCUGUCAUUCAUUCCUCUCCAUGGGCACAUUCAAGCCUGGAUUCUGGGGUGCUGAGCACCUCCACAGUACCCAGAGAACAGCACUCCUGGUGAGGCCUCCCUUCCACUGCCAGCUUUAACACCAGAUGUCUGAGGCUCACAAGAGACAUGGGGACACAGGAACACAGUGGCUUUCUCUUGGGUCAGGGGAGGAAGGGGUGCAGUGUCAGAACUGAGACUGGCAGGGCUUGAGGGACACCAGGGGAGCAGGGCUGUGGCUCCCUCACUUGAAAUGGAAGGCAGCUCAUGGAGAGGAGGGGUCAAACAGCCCACCAGGCACCCCAAACCGGGCCUCGCUGCAGGGAGCUCUCCGGGGAGCCUAGGGGACGGAGCAGAGGUGAGCUUCAGGUGCUCAGCUCCUGUGUGCGCAAGUGUCCAGGAGGCAGGAGCAGAGGGCCCGGGUGGGGCGUCACUGUGGGAAAUGGCCUGAGCUUCCUGGGGUGAUGUGGUUCCGUGGCACCCCCUGCCUGUGACCCUGGUCCUGGCAGAAGUGUUGGUUGCAGGUGCUGGGGACAUACACUCUCCUGUGACAGGGAGGCAGGACCCCUUCUUGCCAGACUCCAUGAAUUGUGGAGAAGGGCUGGGUGUGGCUUUGGGAUCUUCUAUGGUGGCUCAGUAAGGGAAGUGGCCGGAGGCACCUCUGGAGGCCAGCACCCUCAUGGACACGACAGGAGGGCCCCAAACCUGAAAAGGCAGGAUCAGGGACCUGCCCUGUGAGCUGUGCUCUCCUGUGCAGGGAGGGGGCUGGCCUGGUGCAGAGAGGGAGGUGGGACAGGGGCCCCCUUCCCCCAUUGGUCAUAACGUCAGGGCUCUAGCAUCCACAGAGACCGGGGCAAUCAAAGCCAGAUGUAGCAGCAACAACAAAAAACCUGAUUAUUUUGACUAAGAAAAACACUAUUUACAAAGAAAUAAUGAAGUGAUUUGGGGGGAUUGGUGCCGGGGCUGAUCUCAGACAGGCUGGGGGUGGGGGUGCAGAUGCUGAGAAGGUGGCUUUCCCGUGCAUGGAGCUGGCUGCUCUGCAGGUGGCCUGGGCAUCCCCACGGGGCGUCCUGUGAGCUGGGGCCUCUUGGUCUCCAGCUUUGGCCGUGGUGAGCUGGUGGGACACAGGCAAGGUUCCCAGGGACCACCUUUCUCUGCUCUCCCAGGAGGCUGUGGCGUGCCUGGUGAGGAGGAAGAAGGCCACGCAUUCAGUGUGGGCACCCCCUGUGCCCGAUGACCAAGGAAAACAUGUACUGCAGCGAACCCUGAGGUCAGGACACACUAAAAGACCACCAUGCUUGUCCAAUAGGGACUGAGAGACAGUGGAGAAGGAGGGAGAGGGACCAACCACUCAGUGGCUGCUUGGGGCCAGAGCUGGGAGUGGUGCUUGGGGAGGGUGGUAAGGGCUAUGGGCAGCCUCUCGGGUAUUGGCCAGAGGCACUGAGAUGGCAGUGGGUGGCAGGGAGGAAUCCUGCACACAGGGAGGCCAACAGCCUUGGGCCAGGCAUGUCCAUCGCUGGGUGAUGGAAACUCAGGUCCACGCAAAGAUGUGCAUCGCCACAGUGUCUUGCAAGGGCCGAAGGGUGGGAGUGCCCCCAGGCCAUGGUGGCUGACUGCAAGAAUGAAGCUUGGUCCAUCAGGAUAGAAACCCCCAUCCAGGAGGUUCCGGGGGCCGGGGAGGAGAGUGGGAGCCACAGCUAAGCUAGGCAGGGUUAAUGAAAGUGCCUGCCAGUCGCAGGUGUGCAGCCCCCGCGGCACCCAGAAAGCCACCGCGUCACCCCACUCAGGUGGGUGGAACGUGUGGUAUGUGAGCCACCUUUCAAUAAAGGCUUUGAAAGAACA
Molecule: non-coding RNA, 4620 nt
Organism: Urocitellus parryii (Arctic ground squirrel)
Lineage: Eukaryota; Metazoa; Chordata; Mammalia; Rodentia; Sciuridae
Source: RefSeq, a predicted model, not a curated record